UGGCGGUAGGCCUGACACAUGCAAGUCGAACGGCAGCACAGGAGAGCUUGCUCUCUGGGUGGCGAGUGGCGGACGGGUGAGGAAUACAUCGGAAUCUACCUUUUCGUGGGGGAUAACGUAGGGAAACUUACGCUAAUACCGCAUACGACCUACGGGUGAAAGUGGGGGACCGCAAGGCCUCACGCGAUUAGAUGAGCCGAUGUCCGAUUAGCUAGUUGGCGGGGUAAUGGCCCACCAAGGCGACGAUCGGUAGCUGGUCUGGGAGGAUGAUCAGCCACACUGGAACUGAGACACGGUCCAGACUCCUACGGGAGGCAGCAGUGGGGAAUAUUGGACAAUGGGCGCAAGCCUGAUCCAGCCAUACCGCGUGGGUGAAGAAGGCCUUCGGGUUGUAAAGCCC
Molecule: ribosomal RNA, 400 nt
Filed under: uncultured bacterium
Lineage: Bacteria
Description: bacterial SSU rRNA
Rfam family: Bacterial small subunit ribosomal RNA
Source: RNAcentral